Molecule: long non-coding RNA, 770 nt
Filed under: Homo sapiens (human)
Lineage: Eukaryota; Metazoa; Chordata; Mammalia; Primates; Hominidae
Description: HSALNT0017900
Source: RNAcentral
AAAAAUCAGUAAAAGGAAAACGUUCACGGGAUGAAGUCCAAGAGAAACCAGGCACAAGCUUCCAGCUGUCCUCUCCCAGAAGAACCACAGGAGGGCCAGUUUAAUUCUCCCAGCAACAAUGAGUGACAACACAGCGUGAAGUGUUGCCAAUCAGGGAAGCUCACCUGAGACUUAGCGUUAUAAUUGAAGCACCACGGAACUGCUCCUGUGACUCUUUCAAAAUUCCUCAUGGUGAAUCCAAAAGACAGUUUCUUGGUACCACGGAUAAAUAAGGUACAGGGCGAACAGCAGCAGACCGAUCCUUACUGUGUUCCAACAGAUCAGCGCAGCUCUCACCAACUAAGCAGUGAGCCUUACCCAUCCCUCAAUUGAAAAGUUCAGAAAAUAACUCCUUGUAUUAUUGCCUUGGGCCAAUGUGGAUACUAACAAACAGAUAGCCCUCUACAUUCCUGCAACAUUCUUCCAAUAAAACCUUUCAACCUGCAUCCUCACCUUUCUAUGAGAAAAAUGGCAAGAGAUCCAUAAGCCUCCCUCUUCAUACACAAGAACAACAGCUUGGCUGAAUCAGGAAGGCGUGAAUCCCAUCAGUGCCCCAUAUGCCAGACACUCUAUCCUGUCCUCCAGGAAAAUCCAGAGCAACAAAUUCUCAGGACACCAGCAACCCCUUCUCAAGCAUGGGUUUUCCUCAGUGCCCCAUCCCCCAACUUUUUCAGAAAAGGUCCAUAAAUCAAAUGACCAAUAUUGACACAGCGCACUGGGCUUACUGGGAG